Molecule: ribosomal RNA, 388 nt
Filed under: uncultured bacterium
Lineage: Bacteria
Description: partial 16S ribosomal RNA
Rfam family: Bacterial small subunit ribosomal RNA
Source: RNAcentral
AUACGUAGGUGGCAAGCGUUAUCCGGAAUUAUUGGGCGUAAAGAGUGAGCAGGCGGUUAAUUAAGUCUGAGGUUAAAGCGUGGGGCUCAACCCCAUAAAGCCUUGGAAACUGAUUGACUAGAGGACGGGAGAAGUGAAGGGAACUCCAUGUGUAGCGGUGAAAUGCGUAGAUAUAUGGAAGAACAACAGUGGCGAAGGCGCUUCACUAGCCCGAAACUGACGCUCAGUCACGAAAGCGGGGGUAGCAAAUAGGAAUAGAUACCCCAGUAGUCCACGCUGUAAACGAUGACAACUAAAUAUUGCCGCGAGGCAGUGUUGAAACUAACGCAUUAAGUUGUCCGCCUGGGGAGUACGGUCGCAAGACUGAAACUUAAACGAAUUAACGGGG